GACGAACGCUGGCGGCGUGCCUAAUACAUGCAAGUCGAACGAACCGCGACUAAGUGCUUGCACUAAGUCAAGGUGAGUGGCGAACGGGUGAGUAACACGUGGGUAACCUACCUCAUAGUGGGGGAUAACAGUCGGAAACGACUGCUAAUACCGCAUAGGACAUAGGAUCACAUGAUCCAGUGAGGAAAGGUGGCGCAAGCUAUCGCUAAGAGAUGGACCCGCGGUGCAUUAGCUAGUUGGUAGGGUAAAGGCCUACCAUGGCGAUGAUGCAUAGCCGACCUGAGAGGGUGAUCGGCCACAUUGGGACUGAGACACGGCCCAAACUCCUACGGGAGGCAGCAGUAGGGAAUCUUCCGCAAUGGACGCAAGUCUGACGGAGCAACGCCGCGUGAGUGAAGAAGGUCUUCGGAUCGUAAAGCUCUGUUGUUAGAGAAGAACAGCGCAUAGAGUAACUGCUAUGCGUGUGACGGUAUCUAACCAGAAAGCCACGGCUAACUACGUG
RNAcentral lists this ribosomal RNA (502 nucleotides) under uncultured bacterium. RNAcentral's name for it is "partial 16S ribosomal RNA". It matches the Rfam family "Bacterial small subunit ribosomal RNA", at positions 28 to 507 of the family's 1533-position model. The record is from RNAcentral.